Long non-coding RNA from Petromyzon marinus (sea lamprey), 945 nucleotides. RefSeq lists it as uncharacterized. Lineage: Eukaryota; Metazoa; Chordata; Hyperoartia; Petromyzontiformes; Petromyzontidae. The record is from RefSeq and is a predicted model, not a curated record.
AACACAAAAAAGCUAAAGAAGUGAUUUGUUCAAUCUAGAUUUGAAAAUGCAUAGCUCCAGUGGCUUCUGAAUAUCAGUUGGCUGGUUUCAUAGUGCAGUACAACAGCCACUACGCAUUAUCAUCCGCUCACGAUAAUAAACAUAAAAUAUCGACUGUACAUUAUUUACUUUCAAUCUCACCCCCCACCCCCCUCCAUGUUAUAUGCCGAUUGUGACAUCGGCGUCGCGUCACGAGACGACGAAUCAAGGUCGACCUCCCACAGGGCAGCCGCAGCCCUUUCCUGUGCUGUGAGAACCGCCCACAGAAGGCGCCGCGGUGGCUAAGAGAUGUCAACUACCUCGCCUGGUUGAACCAGGUCAGGACCCAUCCAGACGAAAGCAUCUCUCCCUCAAUGGGGACCUGGGAUCACAAAGGCAAGUACGGUAAUACGAUAUCAACAAAGAUUCGGCAUCACGAACUUUGGAUUUAUCGGCAUUAUUUUACACGACGCUUUCGCCACGUAACCACUGCUCUCUCCGCUGAACCCAGAAAGCCCCGACGCUUAAGACGACGAGUGGCGGGUCUUAAGAUUCGCGGCGUGUCGCCUUUUUUGUUGUUGCUGCUGCCGCUCGCUGCACCUGCGGAGAUUUUUUUUCCAAGGUCGUCCCAGCGCGGUGUCAUCUCUCGCUCUGGCUCGCCGCGACAAAAUCAAUCUAAAAAAAUUUGAAAAAUAAAAUUACUACGCCGGCGUGGGGAAGCAAAGGCCAGGGGUGGGGGGGGGGGGGACUCUGUGCUGCGCUCCACUAAUCCCUGAAUGAAACAUUCCGCAAAUAUCAGGCGGGGCAUCGAACGCGCCAACCGAGAACGAGCUGUAGUCGAUCACGGUCGCCGCAGUGGCUCGGAGAUGUUAACUACCUUGCCUGGUAUGCAGGAGGUCGUGGUUUCGAUCCCGAACCUGACACCUG